RNAcentral lists this ribosomal RNA (497 nucleotides) under uncultured bacterium. RNAcentral's name for it is "partial 16S ribosomal RNA". It matches the Rfam family "Bacterial small subunit ribosomal RNA", at positions 28 to 507 of the family's 1533-position model. The record is from RNAcentral.
GAUGAACGCUGGCGGCGUGCCUAAUACAUGCAAGUCGAGCGAACAGACGAGGAGCUUGCUCCUCUGACGUUAGCGGCGGACGGGUGAGUAACACGUGGAUAACCUACCUAUAAGACUGGGAUAACUUCGGGAAACCGGAGCUAAUACCGGAUAAUAUAUUGAACCGCAUGGUUCAAUAGUGAAAGACGGUUUUGCUGUCCCUUAUAGAUGGAUCCGCGCCGCAUUAGCUAGUUGGUAAGGUAACGGCUUACCAAGGCAACGAUGCGUAGCCGACCUGAGAGGGUGAUCGGCCACACUGGAACUGAGACACGGUCCAGACUCCUACGGGAGGCAGCAGUAGGGAAUCUUCCGCAAUGGGCGAAAGCUUGACGGAGCAACGCCGCGUGAGUGAUGAAGGUCUUCGGAUCGUAAAACUCUGUUAUUAGGGAAGAACAAAUGUGUAAGUAACUAUGCACGUCUUGACGGUACCUAAUCAGAAAGCCACGGCUAACUACGUG